UACGUAGGGCGCAAGCGUUAUCCGGAAUUAUUGGGCGUAAAGAGCUCGUAGGCGGUUUGUCGCGUCUGCCGUGAAAGUCCGGGGCUCAACUCCGGAUCUGCGGUGGGUACGGGCAGACUAGAGUGAUGUAGGGGAGACUGGAAUUCCUGGUGUAGCGGUGAAAUGCGCAGAUAUCAGGAGGCACACCGAUGGCGAAGGCAGGUCUCUGGGCAUUAACUGACGCUGAGGAGCGAAAGCAUGGGGAGCGAAAAGG
This 253-nucleotide ribosomal RNA is filed under the name uncultured bacterium. Its description in RNAcentral is "partial 16S ribosomal RNA". It matches the Rfam family "Bacterial small subunit ribosomal RNA", at positions 524 to 776 of the family's 1533-position model. The record is from RNAcentral.